AUAACAUGCAGUCGAGCGAAUGGAUUACCAGCUUGCUCUUAUGAAGUUAGCGGCGGACGGGUGAGUAACACGUGGGUAACCUGCCCAUAAGACUGGGAUAACUCCGGGAAACCGGGGCUAAUACCGGAUAACAUUUUGAACCGCAUGGUUCGAAAUUGAAAGGCGGCUUCGGCUGUCACUUAUGGAUGGACCCGCGUCGCAUUAGCUAGUUGGUGAGGUAACGGCUCACCAAGGCAACGAUGCGUAACCCACCUGAGAGGGUGAUCGGCCACACUGGGACUGAAACACGGCCCAGACUCCUACGGGAGGCAGCAGUAGGGAAUCUUCCGCAAUGGACGAAAGUCUGACGGAGCAACGCCGCGUGAGUGAUGAAGGCUUUCGGGUCGUAAAACUCUGUUGUUAGGGAAGAACAAGUGCUAAUUGAAUAAGCUGGCACCUUGACGGUACCUAACCAAAAAGCCACGGCUAACUACGUGCCAGCACCGGCGGUAAUAA
RNAcentral lists this ribosomal RNA (495 nucleotides) under Bacillus paramycoides. RNAcentral describes it as "bacterial SSU rRNA". It matches the Rfam family "Bacterial small subunit ribosomal RNA", at positions 50 to 526 of the family's 1533-position model. Lineage: Bacteria; Bacillati; Bacillota; Bacilli; Caryophanales; Bacillaceae. The record is from RNAcentral.